GCACAACGCGAAGAACCUUACCAGGCCUUGACAUGCAGAGAACUUUCCAGAGAUGGAUUGGUGCCUUCGGGAACUCUGACACAGGUGCUGCAUGGCUGUCGUCAGCUCGUGUUGUGAAAUGUUGGGUUAAGUCCCGCAACGAGCGCAACCCUUAUCCUUUGUUGCCAGCGGUUAGGCCGGGAACUCAAAGGAGACUGCCAGUGAUAAACUGGAGGAAGGUGGGGAUGACGUCAAGUCAUCAUGGCCCUUACGAGUAGGGCUACACACGUGCUACAAUGGCAUAUACAAAGAGAAGCGACCUCGCGAGAGCAAGCGGACCUCAUAAAGUAUGUCGUAGUCCGGAUUGGAGUCUGCAACUCGACUCCAUGAAGUCGGAAUCGCUAGUAAUCGUGGAUCAGAAUGCCACGGUGAAUACGUUCCCGGGUCUUGUACACACCGAGUCGUGGGGAGGGCAAGGGGC
Molecule: ribosomal RNA, 460 nt
Filed under: uncultured bacterium
Lineage: Bacteria
Description: bacterial SSU rRNA
Rfam family: Bacterial small subunit ribosomal RNA
Source: RNAcentral